GACGAACGCUGGCGGCGUGCUUAACACAUGCAAGUCGAACGGAAAGGCCCUGCUUGCAGGGUACUCGAGUGGCGAACGGGUGAGUAACACGUGGGUGAUCUGCCCUGCACUUCGGGAUAAGCCUGGGAAACUGGGUCUAAUACCGGAUAGGAGCCAUUUUUAGUGUGAUGGUUGGAAAGUUUUUUCGGUGUAGGAUGAGCUCGCGGCCUAUCAGCUUGUUGGUGGGGUAAUGGCCUACCAAGGCGGCGACGGGUAGCCGGCCUGAGAGGGUGGACGGCCAAAAUGGGGAUGGAGAUAGGCCCAAGAUCCUAAGGGGAGGAAGAGUGGGGGAUAUUGCACAAUGGGCGCAAGCCUGAUGCAGCGACGCCGCGUGGGGGAUGACGGCCUUCGGGUUGUAAACUCCUUUCGCUAGGGACGAAGCUUUUUGUGACGGUACCUAGAGAAGAAGCACCGGCUAACUACGUG
This 465-nucleotide ribosomal RNA is filed under the name uncultured bacterium. RNAcentral describes it as "partial 16S ribosomal RNA". It matches the Rfam family "Bacterial small subunit ribosomal RNA", at positions 28 to 507 of the family's 1533-position model. The record is from RNAcentral.